Molecule: long non-coding RNA, 1039 nt
Filed under: Bos taurus (domestic cattle)
Lineage: Eukaryota; Metazoa; Chordata; Mammalia; Artiodactyla; Bovidae
Description: long non-coding RNA NONBTAT023782
Source: RNAcentral
AUGGAUCCCCUUCUCCUUACUUUAACUGAGUCCAAGAUAGACGUGGAAGAGCACUUUGCUCUAACGCAAGGAAAGCAUUUCACAAGGGAGAGCUGUCGUGAGAGAUUGAGCAACUAGUUUUAUGAUUAAGAGGCCUUUAGUAGGGCUGUCUUUUUUAAUCAAAGUGAGUGAAUUGAAACUUAGAAUACAUGAUGAGAAAAGAGGAGGAAGAAGUGGAGAGCAGGUAUAAAGGGAAGCAAUCCAGGGACAGACUGACUUCAUUUAAGGGACGGGAGGAGGAAGCGUGAAAGGGGAUAAUAGACUUUUAGAGGAGAAGGGGAAUUGCAGUGGUGUCACCUGGAAGGAGACUUUCAAGAAGAAAGAGCUAGUUAACAUUAUGGGCGUUGCCUUGCGGUCAAGGAGGAGGAUGCCUACUGAGAGACUUUCAGUACCAGAAGCAUGCUUAGAACUUGUAUGUAUGGUUUUUAUUUUGUUUUGCUCUAAUAGGAAGCUUAGUUCUAAAUCACUCAGUUUCUUCAAACUUUAACUUGAGGCCAGUGUGUUCCCAAGAUAAGCGGACUGGUUUUCUUUAUCGUGUAGCCCCUGGUAUCCAUCUUCCAGCCAUUUUUCUGUGUUUACAAUUGUGAUUGAUAAAUUAAUGGCUGGAGUUUACCCUUUUGUUUCUGUUCCUGUUCAGCUAUUAAUGGCUUGUGCCAUUCCCUCAUUCUUGACCUGCUCACAUGAAGAUACUCUGACAUUUCUUUUUGAAAACUAAUUAAACGUUUUCUUAAGAGGCACAUAUAACCCUGUAAUGUGAAUUUGUCGAGUAAAUAUGCCUUCAUAUCCCCAAAAGCCUACAAAAUUGUAGAAGUGGGAUCAACAAAUAGUUUGCAUGUAAAAUACUUAUCCUUUAAUUAAAAAUGAACUAAAAAACAAAACCAAAGAAAAAAAAAGUAGUCUGCAGACUUUUGCCUAUAAAUUCAAUACUUGACAAAAUAUUUUAGUAAAGAGAUAGCAAAGGGGUUAUGCCGUUUGAUUAGAGAGGGUGUUGGUUUAUGUG